Molecule: ribosomal RNA, 433 nt
Filed under: uncultured bacterium
Lineage: Bacteria
Description: partial 16S ribosomal RNA
Rfam family: Bacterial small subunit ribosomal RNA
Source: RNAcentral
AACGAACGCUGGCGGCAUGCCUAACACAUGCAAGUCGAACGAGACCUUCGGGUCUAGUGGCGCACGGGUGCGUAACGCGUGGGAACCUGCCCUUAGGUUCGGAAUAACUCCCCGAAAGGGGUGCUAAUACCGGAUAAUGUCUUCGGACCAAAGAUUUAUCGCCUUUGGAUGGGCCCGCGUUGGAUUAGCUAGUUGGCAGGGUAAAAGCCUACCAAGGCGACGAUCCAUAGCUGGUCUGAGAGGAUGAUCAGCCACACUGGGACUGAGACACGGCCCAGACUCCUACGGGAGGCAGCAGUGGGGAAUAUUGGACAAUGGGCGAAAGCCUGAUCCAGCAAUGCCGCGUGAGUGAUGAAGGCCUUAGGGUUGUAAAGCUCUUUUACCCGGGAGGAUAAUGACAGUACCGGGAGAAUAAGCUCCGGCUAACUCCGUG